Molecule: long non-coding RNA, 1868 nt
Organism: Lolium rigidum
Lineage: Eukaryota; Viridiplantae; Streptophyta; Magnoliopsida; Poales; Poaceae
Exons: 5
Source: RefSeq, a predicted model, not a curated record
CCCGCCGCCUCCGCCUCCUCUCACGCUUCCCUUCCCCUCGUAGGACCUCCGCUCGCGCUCUCCGCCAGUUCGACCACCGCUGCCCCGCUCUGCAAGGAGGAUGACGCUAGAAGGAGGUGCGGCGACCCUAUUCGAAUCGGGGUGAAGCCAGGGCCGGGAAGGGACAGAGCGACCUACUCAUCAUGCAGUGGGGAGCCAUUGGCCUGCAAGAUGGAGCCGAUGAAGUUGCAGUGGGCUUCAGGAAGGAGGUAAAGAUGGCGGCAUCAUGGUCGACCUGUGACGUGCCUAGGUGCGGAUCGAAUGCAUCCUCCCGCGCGGCUACCCGCGCCUGCCUCCUCCUCCGUCCUGCCCCAUCGUGCCAAGGUCGCUGCGGCUCGGAGCAAUUCCUCCCCAGCUCGCGCCUGGCGGACGUCACUGGUGUAAAAGGUUGAAACUAUUCCAAGGAUUUAGUGAUUUGUAUGGAGAUGUAUGCAAAGAAGACAAUGGUUCAUGUGUGUAUACUUGGAUCACCCCUCCGGUUGCUACAUGUCCCCAGCAAGCAAGUAAUGAUUUGUAUCCUCAAACAGGUCGCUAGCAUCGUGAAUGGUUUAAGGACAAACAUGACUGAUCUGAAGUGAAUGGGAGAUUAGCAGGCGUGUGUAAUAACGAAAUAUCUUCUCACUGUCCGCUACCUAAAGAAGGUCACAUCUGGAUAUUACAUUUUUCAGUAGACGGGGAUUCAGUUGCAUUAGUUAUACAUGGUGCUGAGAAGGUUAUGGAAAUUUGCCUGAAUGAAGAUCUUGAUUUAUUUUGUGGAAUUUAAGCACUUGUGGGGCUUGCCAAACAUUUAACCAUCCAAUCCAAGUUGCAUCUUCUUCGACCAGGCUAUAUCAACAUUGGGGCAGGGAAAUAGGCUCUUAAGAACUUGAACGGGCUUGGUUUAUCCUCCAACAUAUAGGUGAAUCUGUCCCAUGAUGAAACCAAAGAAGGGGGUGUAUUGGUGGAAGUCAGGCUGAAUGAACUAAGAUCCCAAAUCAGUGGACGUGACCACACAAUGGAACAUUGUUCCAUAACCUGGGGACGACCAACUCUUGUAAUGUGCCUACAUAUUCGCAACCUUUUUAAUCUUUCUAACAUCUGUUUCAAAAAAUGCUGGACAAGUUCAUGAUUAAGCUGUGAAGCUAUCCAUCAUUGUUAUCAAAGCCCUGUUGCUGAACCUGAUGUAUUUAUAUCUGAUGCAUGCUUCUGUGUUUUAAACUCAUAUCUGAACUGAUAUAUGAACUCUAAACUUUUACUGAUGAAUGAACUAAGUUCAUGAUUAAGCUGUGAAGCUAUCCAUCAUUGUAAUCAAAGCCCUGUUGCUGAACCUGAUGUAUUUAUAUCUGAUGCAUGCUUCUGUGUUUUAAACUCAUAUCUGAACUGUUAUUGAUGCAUGAACUCUGAAUUGCAACUUUGCAAGGUUGGUCAGAUAAGAGUGUUGAGACCGCUCACAAGUCUUUACGCGUCCAAAGAUUUAUUAGCAAAACAAUAGCACCCUCUGGCUCACUAUAAUAACCGCUUUUGUUUGAACUCACGAGCUUCAGAAGAUUUAUUAGCAAAACAGUAGUACCCUGUGGCUCACUAUAAUAACUGCUUUUGUUUGAUAUUUGAACUGUUUCAGAAAUGGAUCCAACCUUCUAAGAAGCUGACGAGUAACCCAAUCACAAUUCUUGUGGAUGGCUUCAUAGGGAGAAUAAAUGAAAAAUUAUAGUUUCCCCUCUUUUAUUUGUAUCUUACAGUUCAGUACAAUGACAGCAUUUUGUAUUUCCAUUGUACCAAACCAUGGAGUAAACUUGACCUGGAGAUGAUGGAUGACUCUUGUCUAAAUUUUGUAGUAUUGGAUUUUAGCA